UGGGAGGCCGAUUGACUGACGGUCAAUGAGUU
RNAcentral lists this non-coding RNA (32 nucleotides) under Mus musculus (house mouse). The record is from RNAcentral. Lineage: Eukaryota; Metazoa; Chordata; Mammalia; Rodentia; Muridae.